Molecule: small nucleolar RNA, 74 nt
Organism: Anabas testudineus (climbing perch)
Lineage: Eukaryota; Metazoa; Chordata; Actinopteri; Anabantiformes; Anabantidae
Source: Ensembl
UUAUGAUGAAACCUAAACUGAAAUAGCUGGAAUUACCGGCAGAUUGUUCAGUGGUGACUCUCGGUUUUCUGAGU